UAGGCUGCAACUCGCCUACACGAAGUCGGAAUCGCUAGUAAUCGCGGAUCAGCAUGCCGCGGUGAAUACGUUCCCGGGCCCUGUACACACCGCCCGUCACACCAUGGGAGUUUGUAACGCCCAAAGUCGGUGGCCUAACCUUUAUGGAGGGAGCCGCCUAAGGCGGGACAGAUGACUGGGGUGAAGUCGUAACAAGGUAAC
RNAcentral lists this ribosomal RNA (201 nucleotides) under uncultured bacterium. RNAcentral's name for it is "partial 16S ribosomal RNA". It matches the Rfam family "Bacterial small subunit ribosomal RNA", at positions 1301 to 1500 of the family's 1533-position model. The record is from RNAcentral.